AUGGCUGGCUUGGAAGGUUUCGAGUUCUUUGAGAUCGUAAUUGAGAAAUCUUGCAGUAGGCAGAGGCUGCCUGACAAGUUUGUGAAGAUGCUCGCCGGCCGUGAGCCCCACAAAGUGAAGUUACGGGAGGCCGGCAGCGGGCAUCGCGGGCUGGGGGACGUGGUGGUGGUGUUCGACGGCGAAGUCCACAUGUACCUAGGGACUGGCUGGGAGCAUUUCUCCCGCGCCCAUGAGCUGCAGCUCGGGCACUUCCUUGUCUUCCGCUAUGACGGCGGCGCCAUGUUCACCGUGAAGAUGCUCGACAACACCAUGUGCCGCAUGUCUACCAGCACGACAAUGAUGCCAGCAAUGGGAGCAGUAGCGGGGAUGACGAGGAGCAGAUUGGGCAAGAAGAGGAGCAGAGUAGGGAUGACGAGGAGCAGAGCGGGGAGGUGCAGCCUAUUUUGGCUGACAACGACCUUGCUAUGGUGGUGGCUGACGACGACCCUGCUAUGGUGGUGGCUGACAAGGACUUCGCGAUUGUGGUGCCUGACGCUGACCCUGCUAUGGUGGCUGACGACGACCUCGCGAUUGUGGUGCCUGACGCUGACCUUGCGAUGGUGGUGCCUAACGAUGACCUCGCGAUGGUAG
This 630-nucleotide ribosomal RNA is filed under the name Triticum aestivum (bread wheat). RNAcentral describes it as "partial small subunit ribosomal RNA". Lineage: Eukaryota; Viridiplantae; Streptophyta; Magnoliopsida; Poales; Poaceae. The record is from RNAcentral.